GCCGGUCGGUCACAAAUUUUGGGAGGGGCAGAAAGCAGUUUUCAACAAGUGAUUAAGUUGUGAGGCUCAUCACUCCCCCUAACUGGGAGUGGCCCUGAGACAAUUACUCAACGCUAACACAUCUUUCUAGCUAAGUGACACACUGAAGUUGUGUUGCACUUGGUGACCUCUGACUGUUUCAUCCUAACAUUGUUGGUGUCGAUGUGGAUAACAAUAUCCCUAUAACUAUUUACACUCGCCAGUUUCAGCCUCAGCCAGCACCAUCUUCAGAUUAGCCUUUACGUCGGUAUCCCUGCCACCUGAUCCAGCAAGCAACAUCAUCCACUGCAGUCACCAUGGAGACAAGGGUAGAAACAACACUGUCCUCAGAGAUGCAGAGCAUUCGCUUCACUGAAGCAUCUGAAGUGUUUAUGGUUAAUUAAGGGGAGUUUUCUUUCUACCAGCCUCAUAUUGAUUACCCUUAGAGUUCAGCUAAUUUCAGUUUAUGUGACAACACAAGCAGUUGUGUAGGGAAUCAUUGUACCAUCUAAACCACUGUGAAAUAUAUUUUAUUGUAUUUUCAGAUGUUCAGAGCUGGCAUACAAACUGAAAGUAAAUGACAAAAACAAAAGUUAAGAACGGGAAGCAUAGAAAUAGAGCACAUAGGAGAGAUCUACCACUUCUUAGUUUUGCCUUCAAUGAGAAUGAAAGAUUUAUAACUCACAUUUCUAUGUGAAUUUGGUCAGUCAACCAUAAAGUGACAUACUUUAGCUUUAAGGAUGAAAGAUUAAAACAAGGAGAAAGAUAAUUAUUCCUAUGAGCAAUACAAAGGGGUUCAACAACUCCCAUGGGCUGGUUAUAGCAUUAUAGCUCACCAUUUCACAUGGCUAAAGGACCAAUGGGGACAUGCCACCGGCUAUAGAAUCUAUCAACAUUCUAUAGAUUCUGAGAAUAUUUGAUUAGAUGGAAGAAGACCUAGAAUGUCCAUCGUUGGUUAAUUGGCUUGUGUGGCAAAUGAAUGCACAAAAACCAUAUUGUUUUUCCUUUGCAAAAGAGGCAACCAUUUGGACAUUUGACCUAUAGCAUACAUUAAGUCCAAAUUAAAACCAUACAACAUCACUGUGUUAUCCUGCUUAAUUCAAUAAUGAGAAAGCACAUGUAUUUUAUCCCUCGGUUAAUUCCUGUGUCUGGAUUUCUGUCAGCCCUAAAGGAAAAAUAAAUU
This 1201-nucleotide long non-coding RNA is filed under the name Salmo salar (Atlantic salmon). RNAcentral describes it as "lncRNA (ENSSSAG00000107296.1, ENSSSAG00020077336.1, ENSSSAG00075019196.1)". The record is from RNAcentral. Lineage: Eukaryota; Metazoa; Chordata; Actinopteri; Salmoniformes; Salmonidae.